This 622-nucleotide ribosomal RNA is filed under the name uncultured bacterium. Its description in RNAcentral is "bacterial SSU rRNA". It matches the Rfam family "Bacterial small subunit ribosomal RNA", at positions 338 to 951 of the family's 1533-position model. The record is from RNAcentral.
CCUACGGGAGGCAGCAGUGGGGAAUUUUGGACAAUGGGCGAAAGCCUGAUCCAGCAAUGCCGUGUGCAGGAUGAAGGCCUUCGGGUUGUAAACUGCUUUUGUACGGAACGAAACGGUCUUUUCUAAUACAGAGGGCUAAUGACGGUACCGUAAGAAUAAGCACCGGCUAACUACGUGCCAGCAGCCGCGGUAAUACGUAGGGUGCAAGCGUUAAUCGGAAUUACUGGGCGUAAAGCGUGCGCAGGCGGUUAUGUAAGACAGUUGUGAAAUCCCCGGGCUCAACCUGGGAAUUGCAUCUGUGACUGCAUAGCUAGAGUACGGUAGAGGGGGAUGGGAAUUCCGCGUGUAGCAGUGAAAUGCGUAGAUAUGCGGAGGAACACCGAUGGCGAAGGCAAUCCCCUGGACCUGUACUGACGCUCAUGCACGAAAGCGUGGGGAGCAAACAGGAUUAGAUACCCUGGUAGUCCACGCCCUAAACGAUGUCAACUGGUUGUUGGGUCUUCACUGACUCAGUAACGAAGCUAACGCGUGAAGUUGACCGCCUGGGGAGUACGGCCGCAAGGUUGAAACUCAAAUGAAAUUGACCGGNNGAGAGAGACGACGACGACGACGAGGGAGGAGG